This 399-nucleotide long non-coding RNA is filed under the name Anas platyrhynchos platyrhynchos (common mallard). Its description in RNAcentral is "lncRNA (ENSAPLG00000019537.1)". Lineage: Eukaryota; Metazoa; Chordata; Aves; Anseriformes; Anatidae. The record is from RNAcentral.
AUGGAUGGGAUGAAGUAUAAAACCAUAUUGCUGAAGAACAAGACCACAAAGGGACCAUACUUCUGGGCUGUCCUGGGAAUCUGUAGAGCCUUCAGGGAGGAACAGGAAAGAGCAGCAGCUUGGUGUAUUCUUCAGCUGAUGAACAUCUGCUGCUGGAGAGAGAAUCUUGAACGUAUGCCACCCACCAAGCUCAGAAUUAAACCGAGCAGGAUUCUAAAGGAAGUCAGCAUAUUGCCACAGUGUGGGAAGCUUCCACUUAAGAAAAGGUGAAUUUAAUUUCUCUUCUGAAUUCCAAGUACACAAACCUCCCCAGGUAGAUGUCACCCAGAGUCACCCUGCAUGCUGUGCACACCAUUGCUGGUUGUUUCUGGGAUUCACAGAGGAUGAAGGAGUGAUGAG